UCUGAGAAGAGAAAGAGGAAGCAGAGAGAUGAGGGGAUCAGGACUGCAUCUUCCCAUGGUAGCAAGGUUCCCAGAAAUGAGCUCUGCACUGGCCAAAAAUAUCAGCCAAGCAGCACAGACGCUCUCCCUUCCACACACACCUCAUUGGUGCAGACAGUUAUGGCAAAUCCCAAAAUAGCAGAGUUAGAUAAAUACAGAGAAAAGGGUUUACAAAUUUCUGAGAGGGUGACAAACAGCAGUGCUCGCUAAGGAGGGGAGCUCUUUUUAACUCAAGGGCUUUUUCUUUCUGAAGAUCCUUUCCCCACAUAGAAUAAAAGAUAAGGUACUUUUCAAGCCAAGUGCCCUGUAACUUGAAAACUGACUGAUAAGAUGCGAUGCUGGGGGCUGCACUGAAGCAGAGAGGAAAUUUUUGGCAAAUACAUGCCUGCAAAACAGAGAAUGGCCUCAGCCUCGAGUUUACUUUUUCACAGCUCCAAUGCUUUCUGCCUGCUUAAAGCCUCAGAGAGUAGUUAUUUAGGAAGCAUGUAGGAAAAUAAGUGAUGUAACUGGAUCUGGGAACCAAGCUGCCUGCUUUGUCACCCAGCUCUGCUGAAUGCUUCCUGCAUUGCCUAGCUUAGAGGUACUUGCAUGGAUACAGAUCACGGUAGCAUUUUCACCAGUCAGUGAAGCACGUUCACCUUCCAUUUAAAGGCAGCAUCUCAUGGAAAACCUUCCCACAUGGCAGAUGACCUGUUUUAAAAUCAGAAGUUUUGAUCAUAUUCGUUCCUCCUGCCAUACCUGAUGAGGAUGAGGAGAACCUGUGACCACACGUUGCCUGCUGGGGAUGCACCGUCCUCUGCCAGCGCUCCCAGAAGGCACAGGGGUGCCACUGAGGUUGGGGAGUUGAUGGCUUUUUUCAAGCAUCUCGCUUUGCUGUCACUUCAGCAGAAGUCUGCAGGAGCUCUGCUUCAUCUGCCUCUUGGCUGGGUGGUGAAAAUUAGUCGUUAAAAGCAAAUUUGAAAAUCAGUUCCUCUGGCUGAAAACUCGUUUGUUUUCUUUUAAAAGCAUCAAACUCUUUUCUUUAUGUCCAGAGGGAGCAAAGCGCAAAGAGUUUCCUAGCCAAGUUUGUGGCAGCAAAAAUGGUGUGUGCUCAUAUUCCUCCUCUUCCUCCCUCCUCUUUCACAACCCCAGCCAAACAUGGCUUGUGCUAAAAGUUUGUGACCCUUGCAUGGUAUUUUCUGAGCCUUUUCAAGCCAAACCCAGAGACUGUUUCCAAACAAGUUUGCAUUUUCCAUUGGGAGCUAGAUAAUCGCAGUGCAGAGGAGGACACUAAAACCAGAGCUUGUCCUCUGGAGUUACAUAUUUCCAUAGCAUCCUUCAUCCAGGAAAAUUCCAAAAGCCUACAGAAGGGUGCUUGCUGUGAGAGGUGAGCAGUCAAGCAACCUGCUUGCCUGGAGGACAUUGGUAUUUGCUCAGCUGGUUUAGGAGGCAGGAGGGGG
RNAcentral lists this long non-coding RNA (1478 nucleotides) under Cyanistes caeruleus (blue tit). RNAcentral describes it as "lncRNA (ENSCCEG00000015198.1)". Lineage: Eukaryota; Metazoa; Chordata; Aves; Passeriformes; Paridae. The record is from RNAcentral.